Molecule: long non-coding RNA, 217 nt
Organism: Macaca mulatta (Rhesus monkey)
Lineage: Eukaryota; Metazoa; Chordata; Mammalia; Primates; Cercopithecidae
Source: RefSeq, a predicted model, not a curated record
CUCCUGCCACGAUUCUGAGGCCUCCCCAGCCAUGUGGAACUGACCUUUGUGGUUACACUGGGCCCAUGAGGAUCCUCCAGGGUCGUCUCUCUUCGCAGCAUCCUGAACUGAAUCUCAUCUGGACGUCCAUGAUCAAGGCGUUGGCAAGGCUGGUUUCUCCUCAGGCCUCACUCCUUGAGACAGGACCUUGCUCUGUCACCCAGGCUGGAGUGCAUUG